GUGCUUGCUUCGGCAGCACAUAUACUAAAAUUGGAAUGAUACAGAGAAGAUUAGCAUGGCCCCUACGCAAAUUUGGAUAACACGCAAAUUCGUGAAGCAUUCCAUAUUUUU
Molecule: small nuclear RNA, 111 nt
Organism: Apodemus sylvaticus (European woodmouse)
Lineage: Eukaryota; Metazoa; Chordata; Mammalia; Rodentia; Muridae
Source: RefSeq, a predicted model, not a curated record